GACGAACGCUGGCGGCGUGCUUACACAUGCAAGUCGAGCGAUGAAGUCUCUUCGGAGAUGGAUUAGCGGCGGACGGGUGAGUAACACGUGGGUAACCUGCCUCAUAGAGGGGAAUAGCCUUUCGAAAGGAAGAUUAAUACCCCAUAAGAUUGUAGUUUCGCAUGAAACAGCAAUUAAAGGAGUAAUCCGCUAUGAGAUGGACCCGCGUCGCAUUAGCUAGUUGGUGAGGUAACGGCUCACCAAGGCGACGAUGCGUAGCCGACCUGGGAGGGUGAUCGGCCACAUUGGGACUGAGACACGGCCCAGACUCCUACGGGAGGCAGCAGUGGGGAAUAUUGCACAAUGGGGGAAACCCUGAUGCAGCAACGCCGCGUGAGUGAUGACGGUCUUCGGAUUGUAAAGCUCUGUCUUCAGGGACGAUAAUGACGGUACCUGAGGAGGAAGCCACGGCUAACUACGUGCCAGCCGCCGCAGUAA
Molecule: ribosomal RNA, 477 nt
Filed under: uncultured bacterium
Lineage: Bacteria
Description: partial 16S ribosomal RNA
Rfam family: Bacterial small subunit ribosomal RNA
Source: RNAcentral